Brassica napus (rape) is the source of this 296-nucleotide long non-coding RNA. RefSeq lists it as uncharacterized. The record is from RefSeq and is a predicted model, not a curated record. Lineage: Eukaryota; Viridiplantae; Streptophyta; Magnoliopsida; Brassicales; Brassicaceae. The transcript is spliced from 2 exons.
UGGGAUUUUUAUGAUUUGGAGAAACGGAAACUUUGACACAAAGAUAAGAUUAUUUUUUGGCAGCUAGGAACGGAGAAGGGAAUGCUUGAAAUGGUGUAAUUAGAGAACACUUCAGACAAGAUACAACUAGAGAAGAAGACUCGAGGGAUUAAGGGAAAUGGAUCGAUAACUUGGAAGAAACUAGUUGCAAUGAGAAACCAGUUAUAUUUCAAAAAAAAAAAAAAAGAGAAGAUUCCAGCUAAGUAAAGAGAGAUAAUCUCGACAGAGACAGGCAGCCCAAAAAGAAAAGAAUUGAA